Molecule: non-coding RNA, 925 nt
Filed under: Hemiphractus scutatus (Spix's horned treefrog)
Lineage: Eukaryota; Metazoa; Chordata; Amphibia; Anura; Hemiphractidae
Description: 12S ribosomal RNA
Rfam family: Bacterial small subunit ribosomal RNA
Source: RNAcentral
AAAGGUCUGGUCCCAGCCUUGGAAUCAAUUUUUACUAAACUUAUACAUGCAAGCCUCCACACCCCUGUGAAAAUGCCCUUAAAUUUCCCGUAAGAAACGAGGAGCUGGUAUCAGGCCCUUCUAUUUGCCCAAGACACCUAGCUUCGCCACACCCACACGGGUAAUCAGCAGUAAUUAAUAUUGAACAUAAGCGCCAGCUUGAUUCAGUUAAAGUAAAAAGAGCCGGCAAACCUGGUGCCAGCCGCCGCGGUUAUACCACUGGACUCAAAUUGAUCUCUUCCGGCGUAAAGCGUGAUUAAAGAUUAUAAAAACUAGAGUAAAAUUUGAACUAAGCUGUAGCACGCUUGUUUUAAAGAACCCCCAAACGAAAGUCACUCUACCCUUUCCACUUGAAUUCACGACAGCUAGAACACAAACUGGGAUUAGAUACCCCACUAUGCCUAGCCGUAAACCUUAAAUUACUUCCCCAUCGCCAGGAAACUACGAGCAAAGCUUAAAACCCAAAGGACUUGACGGUACCCCACAUCCACCUAGAGGAGCCUGUCCUUAAUUGAUAACCCACACUUUACCUCACCAUUUUUAGCCUAACAACCUGUAUACCUCCGUCGUCAGCUUACCGCAUGAACGCUACUAAGUGAGCCCAAUGCUUAUUCACCAAAACGUCAGGUCAAGGUGCAGUUAAUAAAAUGGGAAGAGAUGGGCUACACUCUCUAAUAUAGAAAAUACAGAAAACAACAUGAAACACAGUUGGAAGGCGGAUUUAGUAGUAAGAGAAAAUCAGAACACUUCUCUUAACAGAGCACUGGGAUGCGCACACACCGCCCGUCACCCUCCUCAAAGCUAUAAAUUAAUAACUAAUCUACCAGAGCAUUUUAGAAGAGGCAAGUCGUAACAUGGUAAGCAUACCGGAAGGUGUUCUUGGAAA